Molecule: unclassified non-coding RNA, 2131 nt
Filed under: Limulus polyphemus (Atlantic horseshoe crab)
Lineage: Eukaryota; Metazoa; Arthropoda; Merostomata; Xiphosura; Limulidae
Description: leptin receptor gene-related protein-like, transcript variant X6
Source: RNAcentral
UACUGAUAACACUAACAUUAGUAAACACUAUGGCGGGUAUUAAGGGGUUAAUAGCGCUAGCAUUCUUGGGCUCAGUUGGAAUGACCUUUCUAGUUCUUGCAUGUGCUUUACCUCAGUUUAACAACUGGUGGCCUCUGUUUGUCAUUGUAUUUUACAUCCUUGCUCCUUUCCCUACAAUUAUAUCUCGUCGUUUUAAUGAUGAUAUGGGAUCUAGUAAUGCUUGCAAAGAGUUGUGUAUCUUUAUAACAACGGGAAUUGUCAUCUCAUCUUUUGGAUUGCCAAUUUUGUUAGCCAGAUCACCGCGGGAGCAACCUGUGAUAGAGUGGGGAGCUUGUGGAUUGAUUCUGUCUGGCAAUAUUGUUGUGUUUUUAACCAUCUUGGGCGUCUUUAUGGUCUUUGACAAUGAUGAGGUUGACUACAGCAUGUGGUGAUCGUAACUUGUUCCUGAUAAGAGCUUGAAUAUUAGUUAUAUGAAAUCAGACCAGUUUUUAUGGAUACAACAUGGAAAGUGGACACCGUGAUAGUAAGUGCAUCAUGAGUUGAGCCUAUUUGAUACAUGGUAAUGCUAUGUCCUGUUCCAUUGCAGUAACCCAUACAGAAGUCUCUUGAUACUCCUGAUAUGUUGAAGAAGCUGUUUAAGUUAAAUACGAGUUAAAACAUUUAUUGCAAAAUUUUAUGAAAAAUUUGUAUUACAUUCAAUUUCUAUUUCUUGUACUUGUGGCAUCUAAGAAAAUAUAGUUUGUAAAUCUUAUAUGAAAACUAGUACAAUGUAGAUUUUUAGCACUGAUUAAACAAUUUAUAGUGUAAGAUGUAACUAUAAUUAUUCUUGAGUCUUUGCCUCUGUGUGUAAAUGUUUCUAUCAGUUGCAUUCUAUGAAUAUUAGUUUAAUAUUUUUUACUUUUUUAGAUUUAUGUAAAAUAAUUCAUACACUGUAUGUAUUUAUUGAACAAUGUUUUUGAUUCAGUUGGUACUUACUUGUGUCUUGAUGCAAACAUGUUUAUGUAAUAAAUUUUAUUAAUUUCGUUAAACGUUUUCAUGAUAAAAUGAAUAAUUACUCAGAAAAUAAUUUUUUUUUAAAUAUUAAAAGACACAUUAGGAUUUUUGAAAAUUAUACUAAAAUGUGCCAAUUGAGUAAAAAUAUGCUUGUAGAACAUCAGUGUCAGUAUUGUAUUUGUUACCUUUUCAAAACAUUCUUCGCUUUGCUAUGCCAACACUUUACCUUCUAGAAACUUAUUUAUGAAUAAAAACAAAAGUUCUUAAAACUAUUUUGUAUAAGUUUUUAAACUUGUUACCUUAUUUUAACUCUUAAAAAAAGUUUCCAGAAUAAUUUAUCUGACAAAUAUUUUUUUUCAAUUAAUUUUUAAAACUACCAUCUAGUUUUGGUGGAAUGCUAGCCAAAAGACCCCAUAUCUCUAAAAUGAUCCACUUGUCCCAAAAAGUGUAAUCAGGCUGACUAUCAUGCUGUGAAUGGCAAGUAGUUGUGCUGCCAUAUAAAGAAUCUGCAUGUAUACUGUUUAUAUAAACAGUAGCUAACAAAGUGAGCAAUAUCAUUUCCAGUUUUGGCUUAUCUGUUUAAUACACACACUAAUUAUCAAUGGCAAUAAGCUCAUUUUAAAUCAUGAGAAUUACUUUGUUUUUACAUCUCCCCACUUUACUUUCCCAGCAGUUCACCACAUCGGUAAAACUUGUUGAUCAAGAGACAGUAUAAUUCAAUUGUAACGUCGUAAAAUAAACAUUACCAACAGAUAGGGGGAACAUAAUCCUCCAUGUUGUAUAAUCAGUAUCCUAGUGUAACAAGUGUUUAAAAUCUAGCCAAAUAUAGAACAGAAAUGUGAUGUCACCCAAAGCGUUUUUUACAUGAAGAUCAGAUUGCACUGUCUCCUAAAAACAUCUAUUUUUGAUUUUUAAGGUUGUCUUGGCAAUAGACAGAAUAGUAAGAUUUUGAAGUUAAACCAUUUAUAAAGUUUACUAUAUUCAGUAACUGUCAUCUGUGUAUCAAAUUAAAUGAUUUACUGUGAAGUUAAUCCUGCAUUCAUAAAUUCUGAUGGUAUAUUUUAUGACUGUAAACAUGCUGAUAUGUAUGCCUGUUGUAAAAGUUCAAUAAAAAAUAUCAGUCUAUUGUGAAUAACAA